CAAAGUGAUCAAACUAACAUGGGAAGUGUCUCGCUUCUUUCUGCAGUUGCAAGAAGGUAAUCUUAGUUUUGUUACCUUCAACACUUUGAACUAGCUAGCUGAGAAUCCAUUGAACCAGAUUGAAAUUUAUAAAUUUAUCACAGUAAUAAAUUUAUCGAUAUUCAGUUGAUUCAAAUAAAUUAAGUCCAAUUUAAAAAAACCAAAAUAAAAAAAAAACAAAUUAAGUCUAUCAUAUGCUCAUGUAUUAUAUAAUAAACUAAAAAACAGUCUAAAAAAAUAUAGUCUAUGAUUCAAAUCAUGUGUUUCAAGAAUUAAAUUAUGAAUCUUAGAUCAAUUCAAUAAAUAAUUACCUUGAUAUUUUAAAAAUAAAAUUAUGUCAUACUGGAUUUAUUUUUUUGCUAGAGUUAGAUUUUUUUUGUACAUUUUUUUUAAUUAACAAAUUAGGCUAAUUAGGUUUUUUUAUAGUCCAUUUUUUUUUUUGCUGCACUCAGCACAUGUACCUAUUUAGUAUGAACUAUUGCAUCAUACAACAUAUUAAUAUGAUAAGAAAUAUUGAUUUGGUAGAAUUGGAAAGGGUUUUUUUUAUGGGUUAUCAAAAUCGGAAUAUCCCACACGUCAUGUAAUUAUUUUUUCCCUUCAUUAAAAAAUGCAUAAUUGAAAAUGUGGGCAUCGUUUUUAUAGUGAUUUUGGCUUUACAGGAGGGAAGUGGAACGUCAAGCAAUCGGACAAGGUGGAACCCAACACUCCCGGCUUCAUGUUGGAAAGAUGAAUAACAGCCUUAAGGACGGCGCGCCAUCGUAUUAAAAAUGCGGGCAUCGUUUUUCUGGUGAUUUUGGCAUUACAGAACCAUUAACAGGCCAAUUAAGGAACAGGAGUUCACAACCGUGGCAAAUAAUAAAAGCUUGAGAUUAACAAUUUUAUUUUUUUUAUUGUUUUAGGUUUGUUUCCUGUAAUUGUUUAUUUAGUAAUUAUUAAAAAUUUAUAUAGUUAUUAAUUUUAAAACUUGUAAAAUUAAUUAAAAUACAUAUAAACUGACUCGAACAACAAUAUUAAUAAAAAUAAAAAAAAAAACCUAGAGUUCACGAAUCAACAGAAACAGAACGUAAAUGGAAACAAAAUAUUUUGUAUGAUCACUUUACAAUAACAAGGACGGGCGGCUAAGCAAUUAUGGUCCAAUCAAGGUGAUUGAUUCAACCCCUAAUGUCAGGUUGCAUGUGGUAAAUAUGCUUGAAGAGAAAGAUGUUCUGACUCUGGUAGCUUUUUGCACAACAGUGUUCUGCUUUCAAGUACCUUGGAGAGAAAGAUAAGAAGCUAGUUGGAGAUCGAUCCCGCAUCAAUUACUUUUACUUAUAUGUAGUCACAUUAUUCAUCACUUUAUACUUUGUUAUGAAAGCUAUUGUUUAUUAUUUUUUAGAUUUAUUAUAAAUUAAAAAAAAUAUUAAAUCCAGUUGAAUUUAUAAUUAACACUAAUUCACACUAAUUUUACAAGUUUUACGGUUGACGUUACUGUUUAUUUUUUUAAUAAAAAAAUGUCUUUUAAAUAUUUUUUAAAUUAAUUAUAUUUUUAUUUAGAUUAAUAUAUAUUUUUUAUUUUAUGUUAUUUAAAAAACCUCUUUAAAAUAACAAUUAUUUUUCAAUCAUGCAAUUUUGUGUACAUGACGUGCCUUCCAUGUGGACAGGUGCUUGAGCAACAGGUGCCUUAAUGAUGGCUAUAUUAGGGAAGUAUCAUGUGCUAGGAAAACACAGAGAGUGGCUUCCAGGGGAACUGAUACUGAUUCAUGGGGAGUGUUUCACUUGUCUCAGCAGCCCUAAGAAGGUAAUUGAUUUUCAAUUUGCUUUCUUUGUGUAAAUUAUUCUUUAGUUCAUGGGAUUUGAGCACUAUCAUGGCUUCCCUUCCUUGGUUUUUGCUACCUCUUGUCAUGUUAAAAAUAUAUGUUCGUUUUCCCCUAAAUUCUCACUAUGCUCGAUUUUAUUUAUGAAUUGAAACGGUUUCGGGAAAAACCAACAUGGUGAGAAGUUAAAAGAACAAAAAAUUGAUCUAACGAAAGCUUUUUGCUGGUGUUGUAGGCUAGAAGGCAAGGUGGCAUUAAUCACUGGAGGGUCUAGUGGCAUAGGAGAGUCCGCUGCUAGACUGUUCGCCAAACAUGGAGCUAAAGUGGUGAUUGCAGACGUUCAAGAUGAACUAGGCCACUCUGUUUGCGAAGAACUGAAGACUGAAUCAGCCUCAUUCGUCCACUGUGAUGUCACUCAAGAGACAGAUGUUGAAAAUGCUGUUAACACAGCUGUUUCUAAGCAUGGAAAGCUGGACAUCAUGUUCAAUAAUGCAGGGAUAGCAGGCACGCCAAAACCAAACAUACUUGACAACGACAAGGCUGAAUUUGAGAAGGUCAUUAGUGUUAAUGUAGUCGGCGCGUUCUUAGGCACUAAGCACGCAGCCCGCGUCAUGAUCCCUGCUCGGCGAGGUAGCAUAAUCUCAACCGCUAGCGUUUGCGGAACAAUUGGAGGUGUUGCAUCACAUGCCUACACAAGUUCGAAGCAUGGUGUGAUAGGGUUAAUGAGAAACACAGCUGUGGAGUUAGGGCAGCAUGGCAUCCGUGUAAAUUGCGUGUCGCCCUACGUUGUUUUGACUCCAUUGGUGAGGAAUUUCUUUAAGCUGGAUGAUGAUGAAGUAAAUCGUCUUUACUCUAAUCUGAAAGAAGCAGUUCUGAAAGCAGAAGACGUUGCUGAGGCUGCUCUUUUUCUGGGGAGUGAUGAGUCCAAGUAUGUUAGUGGACAUAAUCUGAUUGUAGACGGGGGCUUCACCAUUGUUAAUCCAGGAUUCUGUAUGUUUCCACAAUCUAUUUGAAUCUGGAUUUAUGAUGAAAUUAAUGAUGGAGCCAUAAAUUGAAGCAAUAAGACAAGUCUUCUUUAAUUUGAUAGUUAUUUCAAUUUCAAGACAUGUUAUUUUUCGACGAACUCUUUCCACCUUCCUUUUUCACGCAAAACUUGAUGUCAGAACAAGAUGGCAUUGUUAGAAAUUAAUGAUGUCGCCCUUAUAAGUCGUAAUACACCCAAAAUCACAAGCAAUUUUUUUGAAAAAAUUGUGGUCAGAAGUAAUUUUCUCCGUGGAUAUUUUCUUGAAAAAAAUUAUUGCUGUGGUACUAUCAUUUUAAUAAUAGAAAAACUCAUUGCUUGAAAAAGAGUGCGGCCAGCAAUUCUGUAAUUAUACCAGUACUACUACUGCAGCAGCCACUCGGGACAAACACAAAGUGCUGGACGAUAAUGACAAAAAUUAUUGCUGUGGUACUAUCCUGUUUUGCUGCCAACUCGUUCAUUUUCUAAAAUCUAUGCAUCACAAAUAAGCAAAAUUUUCAACAAAGGGUAAGAGAGGGCAAAAUCCUACAAACUCUCGGUCCCGAUAUUGCCACUUGUGUGGCAGCAAGAUGCUUGCCAUUAUCAAAGAUAAAAAAGCUAGCUUGUAAAAGUAGUAAGAGAAGCUGUCAUUAAAGUCUAUUAAAAAUGUGUUUGUUUAUGUUGUAGUUGUGAUUGAAAAAAAUAUAUUUUUUAAAAAUCACAUUUUCUGUGGUUUGUUUAUAUAUUUUGAGUGUUUGGUUAAAAGUGUGGUUUGACUUUAUUGUGGUAAAAAACAUGUUUGGUUAAACCUGUGGUUGCGGUUGUAUUUGUACAAAAAAUUACUAAAUAAAAUAAAAUAAAAUAAAAAGGACAUUAAUAAAUUAAUUCAUUGUGUUAAGAGGAAGUAAAACAUUUUUUCCACAUAAAUACCGGCAAUAAUAAAAGCGUGCUUUGUUAUUACAAUUAAACAUUAUUGUCCCAUCAAACUAUUUGCAAUGCCAUCACGAAUAUGAUUCAUACGCGACGCCCUCUGGUGUCCACUUGUUUGUGAUUGUGGAACAAUAUCGGGAAAAGUAUCUUGAGGAACGAAAUCAGGAUGGCUAUCAAACUUGUUGAAUGCAACAUCUUAGCCCGACUUUCAUCGAAUAUAGUUGUGUAGCGCCAUUGAUGCGACAACAAUUUUAACAUGUGAUUUGUAUGGAAACUCAGGCAUGGUUUGCAAGAUUCGCCAUCUUUUUUUCCAAACUCCAAAUGUACGUUCGAAUACACAUCGUGAUGAUGAAUGGACUCGGUUAAAUAGUUCCUCCCGACUCCGCGGUUGUCCUCGUCGAUGAAAUUCCGAAAGAUGAUAUCUUUCCCCUUUAUAUGGACCCAAGUAACCGUACUCAUUCGGAUAUCCCGAAUCAACGAGAUAAUACUUCCCUGCAUAAAUGUUAGAAUUGAUUAAUGCUUACAAAAUACUUCAUAUAAAAACAAAUUAGACCAGCUGAACAACAAGUACAAUUUAUUUUUUUGUGUUAAUACCUUCUGGUGGCGUCGGAAAUUGUAUGUUUGUAUUUCCAAUCGCUUCAUAAAAUAUUGUUGUAUCGUGAGCACUACCUUCCCACCCAGCCCAAACAAAUGUAAAUUGCACGUUAAAGCUACAUGUUGCCAUUAUAUUUUGCGUCGGUAUACCUUUUCUACCAAUAAAAGGUAUUUGAUUUUCUUGUGAAACACAUGCACGUACAUGUGUUCCACCAAUCGCUCCAAUGCAAUUCUACAUACACAAAAAUAUUGUUGCCGAAUCAAUUUAAUUGCACGUAAAUAAUUGAUUGUAACCUUUUAAAAUAUUUAACUACUUGUACAAAGUAUUGCUUACCUUGAAAUAAGGCAUUUAUCUGGGAUUCAUUUCAAUUUCCAAUGGUGUUGUCGUGAAUUUUGGAUCUACUGGUCUGAUUAAAUCAGCUGCUAGCAAGCACAAAGAACGAAGAACUUCGUUGAAAAUUCUAGAAACGGUUUCACCUGAAUGUUGAAAAUGCUCAUGCACUUCCCUAUUCGACGCACCGAGAGCUAAAGUGUAGAGAAACAUGCCUACUUUCUCAAUAACACUCAUCCGUCUAGACGGUUUCAACCCGUACAUCGUUUCCAACUCAAAAGCCAAACUCUUCAAUGUCUCAGCAUUCAUCCAAAAUAUGUUCACACAACGAAUCCAAUGCCCAUUUAAAAUUUCAAUCAACUAGCGCAUGCCAGUAUUGUAUGAAUCCAUACAUGGCUCUUUAUAAAUAUACAUAUUGUAAUACAUCGCCAGUGCUCUAGCCGUGCAUAUGACCAAUUUAGUGCGAUCACACUCUCUAUGCCAAAAUAAAUCUCAAAUAGCAUUGUCAUCCUGUUGAUUUAGGUCAUCGUGCUGAACCUCACUAUUAUAGUUUACAUAACCAUCACCAAAACUACCUCCAAAACCACUUACAGAACUUGUACCAGCAAAUCCAUCAGACACAUAUUGACCAAUAUUAUUCAUAACAUUUUCAUAAUGGUCAUCAAAAAGCGCAUUAAACCAAUUUGCGUCCAUAUCUACAAACAAAAUUUAAUAUCAAUUUCCAACCUACAUAGUAUCGGUACAAAAUACAUGUUCAUUAAAUGAUUUGUUUUGAAAUUUUGUGUCGUUAAUGCUAGUCUUAACACAUUCAAUAUUUUUCAACACAACAAUAAUUAUAAUUUUCAAGCUGUAACGUUAUGGUAAUAUGAAAGUUUUGUCUGUGUAAUUUGUUUACAAUAUUUUAGACAGUAAUGACGACAUUAACUUAUCCCACAACAUAUAUAUUAUAGGAAUCCCAUAUAAGCGAACGUAUUUACGACAACAUUAACUUGAGCAAAAAAUAUAUAAUUUCAAGCGACCCCUACGAAAUGAACAAAUUUUACUUAUAAGUUUCGCAUUAAAUAUUAUACAACACAACCGUACAUGCAACCCACAAAACAGUGUUCAUACGUUGGCAUGCUUUAAAUUAAUUGGUGGCAGCCACUUAAGGUUUCUUAACAAAACUAAAAGUACCGAGAAGGGACAGCUGUAUAAAUAGCAAAAAAACAUACAUUCACUUGCUUUAUUGACAAUAACAACAGACCUAAAAUGAUUUAACAGUGCAAAUUCGGUAACAAAACAACAAUAGAAAGCUUUAUGAACUAAAAAGCAUACCUAAAAUCAACAACUAACCUUCUAAUGGCAAUGAACUUCAAGUUGCAGUAUAAAAAUAGAAAAAAAAAAACCUUCUGAAACAGCCCUCACUACCGUGGGAAUGGUUGCAAAUUUUGUUCCCAGCCAAUGACAACUCUUUGAAAAGAUAUUGCUUCUUAAAUAGAAACACACACACAGCACAAACAAGCUAUAUUUACUGUCAUACACAUCAGCAAACCAGUAUUUGUACAAUUACCAACCAUUUAACCCAGCAACUCUCAUUCAACCCACUAUCAAACAUGCAAGUAACUUCACAAUAAUUCAUAUCAGUAGCUGACAUUCAAGUCAACAUAAAUUCACCCAAUCAGUAGACAUUCAAGUCAACAUAAAUUCACCCAAUCAGCCAUUCAACUCAUAAAAAACAUGCAAUUCGUUAAGUGAAAAACUAAAAUUCAAGGCUGAAAAGGCAGCCUGAAGACAAAGUAUUCCAGCCAUUCAAACUAGGCUAAAGAUGACAACAUGAAACCUCCAAUUACAGCUUCUAAUUAAACAAUAAUUGUUAAAAUCAUCUCAAACAUAACUAAUACACUUGUUGUACAAAGGCAGUCCUCAACAUAUGAUACGUUACAAGCUAAUACACUUGGAGAAAACAGCAAAGACAUAACUGUUUGAAUCAACCAUUAUGCAAUUUUACAUCCGCAACAAGACCUCAUGAUCCUCACCCUUAUGUGGACUGUUCACUGUGAAAAAAACAUGUAAAAUACAAUAUGUUAACAGCUCAUUGGAAUACAAAACAAACAUGAUAACCUUGCAAAACAUUAGAAAAACGUGAAAUAUGAAAAGCAUGCAAUAAUUACCAAAACCUAUUAAACACAACAACAUUUAAUUGCUGCAACAUAUAACAUAUAAUAACAUACAUAAAUGUAAGUUUUUCAUAUAUCAAAUGAAAACUUACUUCAAGGUCGGUAGUUAACCCUUCGAUCGAACAUUAAUUUCAGCCACUGAAAUUUUCGAUCCAUAUCACCAAUUGUUGCCCACAUUUCCCUCCUACUUCUAACCAUAAAAAACUCAGUUGCAAAGCAAUACAGCUCACUGCUGAACACCACUUCCUCAAUGGAGUGAAACUCCUUCAUCACCUUUUCUAUGCUACAUCAUUUUUUUUUUAUCCAAAACACUUGAUGUGCACUCAUUCUUGGUAGAUACACUAUCCACUAACUUAUCUAAUCGCGAAAACAAUUGUGAUCCCCUUCCGACACCCUUUUUUUUUCUCAUUUUGUUGGGAACUUUGUUGCACACCUUUUCUCUUCCCACUACUACCAGUGAGAUUGCUUGUGCUAUUUGCAAAAUUGACACCAGCCACCAUGUUAUUGAUAUCGGCAACAAAAUCGCCACUACCUUCAUCAAGAUGAGGGUCUUCAUUAACUGCGUUAUUUUGCCUUUGACCGCCACUAUCUUCAUCCGAAUUCAGACCCUGUGAUGGAGCCCAAGCAUACUGACCGGUAGCAACAAUGUUUGUAAACAUAAUAUCAUAUUUACAACACAAUGUUGGAUCGAUGCCAGCAUGCCUAAACUUUCUUACCCCGCGUAUCUCCUACAACAAGGGAUAAUAAACAAAAAAAUGCAUCAUAAAUGAUGUAAAAACACACAAGCAAAUGGUUUAUAACAGCUCUAAACAUAUUGAAAAAAGACAGACCUGGUUUUUAGCUUUCCACCAUUCAUCAAGAGCCAAAAUUGUUCUAAGUUCAGCACUCCAUCCUACUCCUAUUUUGUAAAGCAACCUUUUCCAUAUUCUCCAAUCUUUUUUAAUUCCGUCCCACUUAUUCUUUAAUUGUGAUUUCGUUAAUGCAUGGUCAGUUUGAUCCUUAAAGCAAUUAAUAACAUAUUUCCACCCAACUUUGUCGAAAUGUGUGUUGGGUCGUAUACCUUGCUCAAUUGCUUUAAUACAAAUGUCACAAAAAACAUGCAACAUCUCUCUACUCCAAUAAACUUUAUCUUGUGAUUGAGAAUCGUCCAUGUUGUCGGUUAAAAUGUGGUCUAAUUAACAAUUAACAGGUUACUUUCCUAGAGGCGAUGUAAAGGACAUGAAAUGUACAAUCUAUCCUAAUUAAAUCGCAAGCUGAAAUAAAAACUGCAAAUUAAUAACAUAGACUUAACAUAAUCAGCUUAAGACUUUCAUUGAUAGGUUUAUUUCCAUUAAAGUGUGUACAAGCCAAUGUAUUCAUUGCCUAAGCGUAAGAAGGCAUGCUAAAAAGACAACAUCCAGCCUUGAGUGUAUAUAGCAAUAUUCAAGUACUGAUUUGCAUUGGAGUUUUGAAGGAAUUACUUAAAACAUGUUCAAAUGGAAUCCUCUUUCAGUUAUGAAAAAUAUUCUCAUGUUAAACACAUCAGCUAGUUAAACUCAACCUUAGGCACUCAGAAAAAGGCACAUAAUUGAACUCAACCUCAGACCAUCAACAAAACCCCACAUGAGCAACAACACAAUACAUUUUAAAAAAAUUUCAAGAACCUGAACAAACACUAAAUGAUAGGGGGAUUAGAAAUUUAGAAUAUGUAUUUAUGUUAUACUAUCAAAGACAGAAAAGACUAAUUAUAACACAAAAUAAGUUGUCUAAAUAAAAAGGAAAAGGAGCACAAACACAAUAACAGAGCAUCAGAAACCGGAAGAAAAACAGAUAAUACAACAACCACCCAGAAAAUGUAAUAUACAAUUGGCAUAACAAAGUAACAGAAUAAUUCAACCGAAACAUAUAUAAUCAAACACAACAAUAAUAUAAAUGUUUAUUCUCAGACAUCACACAACAACUGAAAAUUAAAGACUACAUUAAUUAUGCAACUGAAACAAAGCAACUGACCUUGAUUUUUCCUUUAUGACCGAGACAGAGAUUGGUAACAUGCUUGGCCUUCAGCUUUCCAGGAGGAUGAUUUCGAUGCUGUAUUUGGUUUUGGCAAGGAAAACAUACAGCAAUCGAAAUUUUUGGUUAGAGAAAACAGUGUGUUUUAGCAGAUAAGGCAUGAUCUAAAUAAUUUUUCAGGUGAAGUGCGAAGAACAUUACCUGGGUUACUGUGUGUCUUCUUUAACCGAGAAAGGAGUUCAUCAUGGCAGCAGAUCGGUGGCAGAUGGGCGUGAUCUACACUCGGCUACACACAUUGGUGAUGGUCUGUGUGAGAGAAUGGAAAGAGUGUAUUGUGGGUGUGUUUCCCACACUGUGAAAUCGCGAGGAGAAGGAUUGAUUUUUUGCUUCGGGCAGCUUUGGAGGAGGAGAGCUCAGUGUGGGAGGAGAGACGAGAUGAUAGGGCUAAUUAAUUUUUUUGGUAAAGUUUAAUGCAUUUUCUCUAAACAGCAGCCAUGGCAAAAGCAACUGCGAGUUGCUUUCGCUUAUCCUGCGUUUGGAACGCAAUUUGUGUGGGCCCUAUGUGAUUUGAAAAUGCCGGUUGCUGUUAACCAAACAGCUUCACACAAUGAAAUGCUUGAAACGUGGACGCUCCCACAUAACCAAACUGGUUCUAACUCACCAAGAGAGAGAGCAAAAAGUGAGAGACCAAGAGAGUGAAGUGAAGAGGAGAAAAGAGAAAAAGGAGUUGUUGCCAUGGACAACAGUGUGUAUAAACUGGGAGUUAAAAUAGAGUAGAUGUGAUUUUCCUCCUACAGGUAUUUGUUUUACCGCCAACUUGUUCAUUUUCUAAAAUUUAAGGACCACCAAAAAGCAAAAUUUUCUACAACAGGAUAAGAGAGGAUGAAAUCCUAUAAACUCUCAACAAAGGAAUAGACUCAAUGAAGAGGACAAAGUAAAAAUGAUGGCUCGUCGCUUGCACCUCUGUAAUCUGGGUCUGAGUUUUUUCAUACUUUGCCUUCAGAAAUUCCACCCACAAGCUGUUGUUAUUAUUAAGAAUACCCCAAUCCAGUUUCAUGGUGAAUGCCUUGUUCAUAUCUUACAUCCUUCUUAAUCCCAAACCACCCUCUACCUUAGGCCGGCAAAGUGUCCUCCAAAUAAGGAGAUGGGUUUUGCCCCUUCCCUCCUUCAUGCCCCGGUUGAAUCUUCUGCAAAUCUUUUCUAUCUCCAUGCAGAUACCUUUAGGAAGAACUGUAGACUGCAUUGGAUAAAGAGGAAUGGUGGACAUAACUGAUUUGCAAAGUGUGAUACGUCUAGCUAGUGAGAAGUUAUUAGACUUCCAACUAGCCAGCUUCCUUUGCAAAUUCUUAAGGAUGUAACCAUAGGUUUGCUUCGUGAUACGCUGAUGCCGAAGAGGAACUCCCAAGCACUUGCCUAAGUCCUCAGUUCUCCAAAAAUCAUAGUCUCUACUAAUGUUUCGAGCUAACGAGUCUGAUACAUUCCUGAAGAAAAAUACUUUAGUUUUGUUAAUACUGACCUUCUGACCCGAAGCAUUGCGGAACUCGUUUAAACGAGGUAUUUAGUAGUACAUUUUUAUUAAAAAAAACACUAAAUCAAGAAAGAUUUACAGGUAUAAAAUUUUAGAAAAAUGAAUAUGUCCCAAUAAAGACGUGUUGUGUAUAGCACUAGUUUAACCCAACACAUUAGGCUUGGCGGUGUGCUAAUCCCUAAAACACUAGGCUUAGCAAUGUGCUAAACUCCAAGAAUAUUGGGUCUAGUGUUAGCAAGACCUAAAUGCGAAAUAGCUUGGAAGUGUGCCAAGCUUCGAGCACAUUAGGUUUAGCACUAGCUAGACUCUAUUAUAAUUGAGCUUGGUAGUGUGCCAAGCUUUAGGCACGUCUAAUGAAAUGAUCAUUCUCUAUUGGGUCUCUAAUGUAGGGGAAAAACUCAAUUUUUAUGAGCUUAGCUAUAUUUGUUGUAUUGGAUCAUAAUCUUGUUAUACAUUUUAGGUGUAUAAAAUUCUCUCUAUAAAAAGAUACUUAUUUAAGUAUUAGAGAAUCCUCACAUUUAUCAAAGUCACUUUAAUCUACCAAGCAUCAAGUAUAAAAUAUCAACUACCUUGACUAGGAAGAAUGAAUGAAACUGCUAAGACCAAUUGAGUAACUCAUUAUCUAAUAUGGAAGCUCUAUUCCUGAGCUACCUGGAUUUUUAGGACAUCAUCAGUGGCAUUGUUUGCAGAAAACUAAUAAAAAAACCAUUGGUUUCUUCCUUAAGCUUGCUUUUGAUAUUUUCAUAUCAUUCCAUGACGCAUAACCAAUACCCACCUGGGUCAGGUUGUAGGGAAAGUUUUCUCAUUAUUGUAUACAUUUAUGCCCAAACAAAGUUUCAAUAACUCUUCAAUUAGGUUUGACUCCUCAUUGAGGCAAUGCUAGCCACUCAAGGUGAGACAAGCAAAUUUGGGCUAUGCUUUGCUUGCUUCACAAAUGUAGUUGCAACCUUGAAAUUUUAAAAAGCUUUCAACAAGUACGAGUGAAAUGUUAGUUCAAACUAUGAAACAUGUGAAAUAUUUUUUUUAUAACUAUCUAAAGGAAAAGAAAAAGUCUCCCUCAUGCCGGACACUCAGCUCAAAUAAAAAAUUACCAUAGCCAAUAAGAAUAAGAAUGUAAGUUUCUUAUAUAUAAAUGACUUAUUUAAAAUGAUUGUUUUUGUUUUUUCUAGGUGAUGUCUUAGCCUUUCAAUAACACACCUUGUAAAGGAUGUACUUGGUCUUCCUAGUAUUAUAUGCACCAUUUUCCAAGAGAUAGAUGUAAUCUUUCUAAUGCUAUAUACAUCAAUCUUCAAGGGAUAUAUGUAAUCUCUCUAGUGUUAUAUACAACAAUCUCCCAUAGAUGAAUGUGAUUGGUCUUCCUAAUACAAAUAGCAACAUCAUAUAAUCACCACUCUUAGUUGGGGACUCUCAUGCUCUAUAAAACAAAAAAUCAUGGUGACCUUUUUUAGUAGAUGACUUUUAAGUCUUGUGACAAUGUUGGCAAAACUACAGGCUCCCACUUACCGAAAAUCUGUAAUCACUUAGAAGUUUUUGAGUAUAGGUUCACUCUCAUUGGGUUCCGUAUAGCCACUUAAAAAUUUAUAUAGAUGAUGAAUAAGGUACCCUCAAUCUUUUAGAAAUCUUCUAAGUAUAAAUUAUUAUUCUUUUGUGUAUGAAAGAUUUAUUUUAUUCUAGAUGAAUAUUUUUCUAUAUUUUUCCUAGCUUAUACAAGCAAACCUCAUUACUCUAUCUAAAUUAAUAAGUUAAUUAAAAUCUUUGUAUAUUAUUAUAUCGUAAGCCUUGAGCUAUUGAUGAGCCAAGUUUUUAAGGGUAUAUAUAUAUAUAUAUAUAUCAAAUCAAGAAAAAAUAAUGAGCAUAAAUUUUUUGGGAAACUAGCAUGCUUCAAUAAAGAUAUAUGUGGGGUAUGAAUAUAGUCAAACUUGGCAUGUUGUGCUUGACAAUGUGAACUUUAAAAUACUUUUAGACAAUAAACAAGAGUAAAAAGUAAAAAUAGAAGUACAAAGUAACAGGGAAACCGAGAGUAAUAUGAGAAGAGUAUGACUAGGAUCCGUGAGUUUCCUGAAUAGAAGGCCUGAGAGUUAUUGGAAUAGGUUUUCUCUAACCGUCUAUAAAUUACCCUCUUAAUGCUUGCAAUUUCCUUCUAAAUAAAGAUUGUAGAACAAUUCUUCCUCUAAUUUGUUUGUCAUUAUAAUGAAAAAUCAUAUAGUUAUAGAAUUUGGCCUGAUAUGUGAAUCAACCCAGUAACCCCAUCAUCUAGAGCUUGAUUCAUGGCAUAUUUCAUUUUGAAUCAUUUUUUUAUACCAAAAAAACGGUAUUUUUAAAACUAAAACAGUGUAGUUAUAUAUUUUUUUAUAAAAAAAAAUCCCAUAACAACAUUGUUUUAAUUAAAAAAUUAAAUUCACUUGAUAAUUUAUAAAUAAUUAAUGAAGAUGAGAAAGCCAGGGCAAUUAUUUCAGCUUUCAUUAUUUGUAUGGCCAUUCUAUUUUGUUAGCCUAUGCGAUUUCAAGGGAGAUGCCAAUGUGAUAGAUCCAAUGUCUGAAAAUGAUGGCAACUUACAAAGUAGUGGAGAAGAAACGAUCUCUGUAUCGACACUUGAUUGUGACUUCCAUUAAAAGCAGAGGCCAUAACUUUAAGAACUAAAAUAAUCUUCUUUAGAGACUCAUUUCAUUUUCAAGAUUUCUAGUCUUGAUCUGGAAAAAAUAAGAAUCUACUCUUACUUGCAAGAGCAUACCUAGCUCAUCAAAGUGAUCAAAUUAACAUGGGAAGUGUCUCGCUUCUUUCUGCAGUUGCAAGAAGGUAAUCUUAGUUUUUUUACCUUCAACACUUUGAACUAGCUAGCUGAGAAUCAAUUGAACUAGAUUGCUAUAAAAUAAAUGAAAAGUUUAGCUUCUCUGAUUUGUUCUUUUACUUCUUGAUUAAGAGAUAUAUAGACUGGAACUAGCCAGAUCAGUACCGU
This 13316-nucleotide long non-coding RNA is filed under the name Populus tremula. RNAcentral's name for it is "long non-coding RNA (PTRE_LNC002260)". The record is from RNAcentral. Lineage: Eukaryota; Viridiplantae; Streptophyta; Magnoliopsida; Malpighiales; Salicaceae.